This 684-nucleotide ribosomal RNA is filed under the name Triticum aestivum (bread wheat). RNAcentral describes it as "partial small subunit ribosomal RNA". Lineage: Eukaryota; Viridiplantae; Streptophyta; Magnoliopsida; Poales; Poaceae. The record is from RNAcentral.
AUGCGUGGCCUUGCCGAUGAGCUGGCGGCCGCCGGCAAGCCCCUGCAGGACGACGAACUCAUCAACUACAUUCUCCAUGGCCUCGACAUGGCGUACCAGCCCUUGGUCUCCGCCCUCGACGUCCGCACCACCCCGGUCUCCCUCGACGAGCUCUUCGCUAUGUGGAAUAACUUCAACCAGCGGGUGGCCCUGUACCAGGGGGCGGGCGGCUUCAAAUCUUCUGCCAACGCCGCUACCCGUGGCCGUGGCGGCUACUCCUCUCGCCACCGUGGUCCUCCUCGCUCCAAGGGUAGGCCUGGCGGUGGCGGUGGCGGCAACACCAAUGGCUCCAACUCCCGCAGCAGCCGCCCCUCCUCCAACAACACCAGGGGUCGCCGCGGUGGGAACAUCAAGUCGCGCCCGGAUGCCGUGCGUUGCCAGAUAUGUGGCAAGCUCGGGCACUCGGCAAAAGACUGCUGGUACCGUUUUGAAGAAGAUGAGGCGUCGUCUGAAGAUGAGGAAAAAGUUGCUGCCGCUGCUGAUGGUGCCUACGGCAUCGACACGAACUGGUACCUUGACAGCGGUGCAACCAACCAUCUCACGGGUGAACUUAAGAAAGUAACACUCCGUGAAAAGUACCCCGACAAGGACCAAAUCCACACCGCAAGUGAGGCAGGCCACGAGGAAAAUUCUAUAUCGAGGUAG